UGGGGAAUAUUGGACAAUGGGGGCAACCCUGAUCCAGCAAUGCCGCGUGUGUGAAGAAGGCCUGCGGGUUGUAAAGCACUUUCAGUAGAGAAGAAAAGCUUACGGUUAAUACCCGUGAGUCUUGACGUAACCUACAGAAGAAGCACCGGCUAACUCCGUGCCAGCAGCCGCGGUAAUUCGGAGGGUGCGAGCGUUAAUCGGAAUUAUUGGGCGUAAAGCGUCCGUAGGCGGUUUAUCAAGUCAGUUGUUAAAGACUGCAGCUCAACUGUGGGGGAGCAACUGAAACUGAUGAACUAGAGAGCGGUAGGGGUAGAGGGAAUUCCCAGUGUAGCGGUGAAAUGCGUAGAUAUUGGGAAGAACACCAGUGGCGAAGGCGCUCUACUGGGCCGCGACUGACGCUGAUGGACGAAAGCUAGGGGAGCGAAUGGGAUUAGAUACCCCUGUAGUCC
RNAcentral lists this ribosomal RNA (449 nucleotides) under uncultured prokaryote. RNAcentral's name for it is "bacterial SSU rRNA". It matches the Rfam family "Bacterial small subunit ribosomal RNA", at positions 355 to 796 of the family's 1533-position model. The record is from RNAcentral.